CAGCCGCCGCGGUAAUACAGAGGGUGCGAGCGUUAAUCGGAUUUACUGGGCGUAAAGCGUGCGUAGGCGGCUUCUUAAUUCGGAUGUGAAAUCCCUGAGCUUAACUUAGGAAUUGCAUUCGAUACUGGGAAGCUAGAGUAUGGGAGAGGAUGGUAGAAUUCCAGGUGUAGCGGUGAAAUGCGUAGAGAUCUGGAGGAAUACCGAUGGCGAAGGCAGCCAUCUGGCCUAAUACUGACGCUGAGGUACGAAAGCAUGGGGAGCAAACAGGAUUAGAUACCCCAGUAGUCCCUGUCUCUUAUAA
Molecule: ribosomal RNA, 301 nt
Filed under: uncultured bacterium
Lineage: Bacteria
Description: partial 16S ribosomal RNA
Rfam family: Bacterial small subunit ribosomal RNA
Source: RNAcentral